RNAcentral lists this ribosomal RNA (464 nucleotides) under uncultured soil bacterium. Its description in RNAcentral is "bacterial SSU rRNA". It matches the Rfam family "Bacterial small subunit ribosomal RNA", at positions 61 to 518 of the family's 1533-position model. The record is from RNAcentral.
GUCGAGCGGCAGCACGGGUACUUGUACCUGGUGGCGAGCGGCGGACGGGUGAGUAAUGCCUAGGAAUCUGCCUGGUAGUGGGGGAUAACGCUCGGAAACGGACGCUAAUACCGCAUACGUCCUACGGGAGAAAGCAGGGGACCUUCGGGCCUUGCGCUAUCAGAUGAGCCUAGGUCGGAUUAGCUAGUUGGUGAGGUAAUGGCUCACCAAGGCGACGAUCCGUAACUGGUCUGAGAGGAUGAUCAGUCACACUGGAACUGAGACACGGUCCAGACUCCUACGGGAGGCAGCAGUGGGGAAUAUUGGACAAUGGGCGAAAGCCUGAUCCAGCCAUGCCGCGUGUGUGAAGAAGGUCUUCGGAUUGUAAAGCACUUUAAGUUGGGAGGAAGGGCAUUAACCUAAUACGUUAGUGUUUUGACGUUACCGACAGAAUAAGCACCGGCUAACUCUGUGCCAGCAGCCGC